Molecule: long non-coding RNA, 1973 nt
Filed under: Homo sapiens (human)
Lineage: Eukaryota; Metazoa; Chordata; Mammalia; Primates; Hominidae
Description: HSALNT0394610
Source: RNAcentral
AUUUCCUACUUGGUCCUGUUCGUGGCGCCGCGCCUCCGGGUGUUGGGGAGUCCGGGAUGAUGGGGAAUCCGGGGCUCGCCCUAGUCGCGGGGACACCGCCUUCCAGGAGCUGUCCCCAGGCAAACUCACAGACAUCUUCAAAGAGCCUUCUUGGACAUUCUGCUUUUUGCUCCUCAUAACAGGCUUCGAUGGAGUUUCUCUCUUAUUUUCCAGGCUGCAGUACAGUGGCGUGAUCUCGGCUCACUGCAACCUCCACCUCCCAGGUUCAAGCGAUUCUCCUGUCUUAGCCUCACGAGUAGCCGGGAUUACAGGCACAUGCCCCCAUUCCCAGCUAAUUUUUGUAUUUUUAGUAGUGACGGGGUUUCAUCAUAUUGGUCAGGCUGGUCUCAAACUCCUGACCUCAGGUGAUCCGCCUCGGCCUCCCAAAGUGUUGGGAUUACAGGCGUGAGCCACCCACUGUAUCUCUUGUUCGGAGGAAUAUCUAAUCAAGAAAAUCAUUUUUACUGUUUUUAUUUUUUGGUUUGUUCGUUUUUUUCCUGUGAGAUGGAGUUUCACUCUUGUUGCCCAUCCUGGUGUACAAUGGCGCGAUCUCGGCUCACUUCAACCUCCGCCUCCCAGUGCGUCCGGAAUUGGUGGGUUCUUGGUCUCACUGACUUCAAGAAUGAAGCUGCGCACCCUCACGGUAUACAAUUUUAUUGCCAAGCAAUAAAAUUGGCAAGAAAACCAAAGUUAUUGUUCAGUACUUUGUAUUGUUCUACUCUGUGCCCACCAAAUGUCAAAGCACUGGAAGGACAGAGGGACAAGAGGGAUGGCCCUUUCAGGACGGGAACCCACGUCUGGCUGGAGAGAUAAGACCAAUUAUAAUCAGCAAGACAUGGCCAGGAGCUAAAUUAUAAGGAAGAAACUGCUACUGAGGGGGAUCAGGAAAGGAUGCAGAAGAAUGUGCUGGAAAAACAGAGGAGGGUUUCUCAGAAAAAGCAUCUUCCGUCCAAAGAAACAGUGUUUGUACAGGAUGAAAAGUCUGAGGAGGUCAUCUUGGGCAAAGGAAACGGCAGCUAUAAAUAUUUGUGAAUUAACAGAUAUGCUUCCCUGCACAAUGAAUUACCCUUUUUGUCUCCAGUAAGCACCCAGAUCUUAAUGUCAGCUUUUGCAAGUUUUGAAAUGGUUUCUGGAACUCCAUCCUGUAGCUUGUCUUCAAUAGCUGUAGCUCCCAGGAGCUAGAAUGUAUAUUAAAAAAAAAAAAAAAAGGAAUUAGCAAACAAACCAAAAGUUUUCUGUAAUUACAGGUUGCCAACCUGUAAAAAGAAGGGCUAAUUAUACAUCCUGGUUGCUGCUCUCCUGGGGCCAAUGGCCAGUGUUAACAGGGAAGGCUGCCAUGUUUCACAAUUACUGCAAACCAACACACCUAAAAACUUUUUCCCUAAAGGAUGAACUAUUUAAUUUACCAAGACAAAAAUGCAAGUACAAAAUCAAGGAUGUUAAAAAUACACUUUUCUUGUGUAUUUGUGGCUUUAUACUGACAUAAACCGUAAACCAGUUGCAAUACUAGCUAUUUGUUGAAUAUUUUCCACUUAUCUAAACCCUACAAAAACUAUGUAUUAAAUUUGGAAAACUUUUAGAAACAAUAUAUUUUUCUUAUUUCAAGAUUUUGCAGAAUAUGAAUUGUUUCGGUAAUUCCCCCAAUGUAAUAAGUAUUAGAUGCAGGUUUGUUAUUGUUUAAAAAUUAUAAUAAAUUUUAAUAAGUGAUAUACAAAUUAUGGAAUUAAAUUAGAACUUCUCCUAAUGUAUUUUGUCUUUUGGUUUCUCAUAAUGGCAACUUCUGUUCUGCUCCUAUUUUGGUGAAUAAAAGAAAUAACCUUCUUCCAUUGUGCCAGUGUCAAAUGCUGAAGUUACAAUUAUCUCUUAAGCAUGAGAUCAAAUAUUCAAUAAAACUUAAUAAAAAUUUCAAUUCUGCUUAGAAUAUCAAAGAAAAA